AUGUUCUACACCUUUUCAUAUGGCUUAGCCAGGAUCGUGUAUAAAUCAGGUCUCCUUAGGAAGCUACCUAAAGCUUAUAAGCAGGAACCUGUAUACAUAAUGACAAUUUUAAGAAGAAAAAGAAGGAGAGAAAAAUCAUACAACAUUAAUGUACCGACAACAAUAGUAUUACAUACUAAACACGCACACACACAAAAAAAAAAAAAAAAAAACAAUUUCCCUAGGGCUAGAGAGUUUACAGCUUAGGUAUUGGAAUGUUUGUAUGAAUUGAUUAGAAUGGUUUUUAACAUCUUUUUAAAGGUGGAGAUGGAUUUUAACACUUUCAACUUGUCGUCGAGCUCAUUCCAAAUCUGAGGGCCCCUGCAUACAAUGCUCAGGCUGGUGCUAGCGAGUCUUCUUUUUUUACCACUGAUGAGAUAUUUGUUCCUGAAACUGCUUUUAAAUU
Long non-coding RNA from Melanotaenia boesemani (Boeseman's rainbowfish), 445 nucleotides. RefSeq lists it as uncharacterized. The record is from RefSeq and is a predicted model, not a curated record. NCBI's taxonomy places the organism in Eukaryota, Metazoa, Chordata, Actinopteri, Atheriniformes, Melanotaeniidae. The transcript is spliced from 3 exons.